RNAcentral lists this ribosomal RNA (2961 nucleotides) under Salmonella enterica subsp. enterica serovar Typhimurium. RNAcentral's name for it is "23S ribosomal RNA". It matches the Rfam family "Bacterial large subunit ribosomal RNA". Lineage: Bacteria; Pseudomonadati; Pseudomonadota; Gammaproteobacteria; Enterobacterales; Enterobacteriaceae. The record is from RNAcentral.
CCUGGCAGUCAGAGGCGAUGAAGGGCGUGCUAAUCUGCGAUAAGCGCCGGUAAGGUGAUAUGAACCGUUAUAACCGGCGAUACCCGAAUGGGGAAACCCAGUGUGAUUCGUCACACUAUCAUUAACUGAAUCCAUAGGUUAAUGAGGCGAACCGGGGGAACUGAAACAUCUAAGUACCCCGAGGAAAAGAAAUCAACCGAGAUUCCCCCAGUAGCGGCGAGCGAACGGGGAGGAGCCCAGAGCCUGAAUCAGCAUGUGUGUUAGUGGAAGCGNNNNNNNNNNNNNNNNNNNNNNNNUGACAGCCCCGUACACAAAAGCGCAUGUGCUGUGAGCUCGAUGAGUAGGGCGGGACACGUGGUAUCCUGUCUGAAUAUGGGGGGACCAUCCUCCAAGGCUAAAUACUCCUGACUGACCGAUAGUGAACCAGUACCGUGAGGGAAAGGCGAAAAGAACCCCGGCGAGGGGAGUGAAAAAGAACCUGAAACCGUGUACGUACAAGCAGUGGGAGCACAGGUUUACCUGUGUGACUGCGUACCUUUUGUAUAAUGGGUCAGCGACUUAUAUUCUGUAGCAAGGUUAACNNNNNNNNNNNNNNNNNNNNNNNNNNNNNNNNNNNNNNNNNNNNNNNNNNNNNNNNNNNNNNNNNNNNNNNNNNNNNNNNNNNNNNNNNGGUUGAAGGUUGGGUAACACUAACUGGAGGACCGAACCGACUAAUGUUGAAAAAUUAGCGGAUGACCUGUGGCUGGGGGUGAAAGGCCAAUCAAACCGGGAGAUAGCUGGUUCUCCCCGAAAGCUAUUUAGGUAGCGCCUCGUGAAUUCAUCUCCGGGGGUAGAGCACUGUUUCGGCUAGGGGGCCAUCCCGGCUUACCAACCCGAUGCAAACUGCGAAUACCGGAGAAUGUUAUCACGGGAGACACACGGCGGGUGCUAACGUCCGUCGUGAAGAGGGAAACAACCCAGACCGCCAGCUAAGGUCCCAAAGUCAUGGUUAAGUGGGAAACGAUGUGGGAAGGCCCAGACAGCCAGGAUGUUGGCUUAGAAGCAGCCAUCAUUUAAAGAAAGCGUAAUAGCUCACUGGUCGAGUCGGCCUGCGCGGAAGAUGUAACGGGGCUAAACCAUGCACCGAAGCUGCGGCAGCGAACGUAUCACCCAAGACAACUUUACGGAGUUGACGAUUGACGGAGCGAAGCGACGUCAAAGCGUUCAUUAAAGUCGAGUUGGCUUAGGGAUACGUUCGUUGGGUAGGGGAGCGUUCUGUAAGCCUGUGAAGGUGUGUCGUGAGGCAUGCUGGAGGUAUCAGAAGUGCGAAUGCUGACAUAAGUAACGAUAAAGCGGGUGAAAAGCCCGCUCGCCGGAAGACCAAGGGUUCCUGUCCAACGUUAAUCGGGGCAGGGUGAGUCGACCCCUAAGGCGAGGCCGAAAGGCGUAGUCGAUGGGAAACGGGUUAAUAUUCCCGUACUUGGUGUUACUGCGAAGGGGGGACGGAGAAGGCUAUGUUGGCCGGGCGACGGUUGUCCCGGUUUAAGCGUGUAGGUGUGUGUUCCAGGUAAAUCCGGUUCACUUUAACACUGAGGCGUGACGACGAGGCACUACGGUGCUGAAGCAACAAAUGCCCUGCUUCCAGGAAAAGCCUCUAAGCAUCAGGUAACAUCAAAUCGUACCCCAAACCGACACAGGUGGUCAGGUAGAGAAUACCAAGGCGCUUGAGAGAACUCGGGUGAAGGAACUAGGCAAAAUGGUGCCGUAACUUCGGGAGAAGGCACGCUGACACGUAGGUGAAGUGAUUUACUCAUGGAGCUGAAGUCAGUCGAAGAUACCAGCUGGCUGCAACUGUUUAUUAAAAACACAGCACUGUGCAAACACGAAAGUGGACGUAUACGGUGUGACGCCUGCCCGGUGCCGGAAGGUUAAUUGAUGGGGUCAGCGCAAGCGAAGCUCCUGAUCGAAGCCCCGGUAAACGGCGGCCGUAACUAUAACGGUCCUAAGGUAGCGAAAUUCCUUGUCGGGUAAGUUCCGACCUGCACGAAUGGCGUAAUGAUGGCCAGGCUGUCUCCACCCGAGACUCAGUGAAAUUGAACUCGCUGUGAAGAUGCAGUGUACCCGCGGCAAGACGGAAAGACCCCGUGAACCUUUACUAUAGCUUGACACUGAACAUUGAGCCUUGAUGUGUAGGAUAGGUGGGAGGCUUUGAAGUGUGGACGCCAGUCUGCAUGGAGCCGACCUUGAAAUACCACCCUUUAAUGUUUGAUGUUCUAACGUGGACCCGUAAUCCGGGUUGCGGACAGUGUCUGGUGGGUAGUUUGACUGGGGCGGUCUCCUCCUAAAGAGUAACGGAGGAGCACGAAGGUUGGCUAAUCCUGGUCGGACAUCAGGAGGUUAGUGCAAUGGCAUAAGCCAGCUUGACUGCGAGCGUGACGGCGCGAGCAGGUGCGAAAGCAGGUCAUAGUGAUCCGGUGGUUCUGAAUGGAAGGGCCAUCGCUCAACGGAUAAAAGGUACUCCGGGGAUAACAGGCUGAUACCGCCCAAGAGUUCAUAUCGACGGCGGUGUUUGGCACCUCGAUGUCGGCUCAUCACAUCCUGGGGCUGAAGUAGGUCCCAAGGGUAUGGCUGUUCGCCAUUUAAAGUGGUACGCGAGCUGGGUUUAGAACGUCGUGAGACAGUUCGGUCCCUAUCUGCCGUGGGCGCUGGAGAACUGAGGGGGGCUGCUCCUAGUACGAGAGGACCGGAGUGGACGCAUCACUGGUGUUCGGGUUGUCAUGCCAAUGGCACUGCCCGGUAGCUAAAUGCGGAAGAGAUAAGUGCUGAAAGCAUCUAAGCACGAAACUUGCCCCGAGAUGAGUUCUCCCUGAGACUUAGAGUCUCCUGAAGGAACGUUGAAGACGACGACGUUGAUAGGCCGGGUGUGUAAGCGCAGCGAUGCGUUGAGCUAACCGGUACUAAUGAACCGUGAGGCUUAACCUU